RNAcentral lists this ribosomal RNA (406 nucleotides) under uncultured bacterium. Its description in RNAcentral is "partial 16S ribosomal RNA". It matches the Rfam family "Bacterial small subunit ribosomal RNA", at positions 29 to 526 of the family's 1533-position model. The record is from RNAcentral.
AAUGAACGCUGGCGGCAGGCCUAACACAUGCAAGUCGAACGAGUGGCGGACGGGUGAGUAAUGUCUGGGAAACUGCCCGAUGGAGGGGGAUAACUACUGGAAACGGUAGCUAAUACCGCAUACCAUCGGAUGUGCCCAGAUGGGAUUAGCUAGUAGGUGGGGUAACGGCUCACAUAGGCGACGAUCCCUAGCUGGUCUGUGAGGAUGACCAGCCAAACUGGAACUUCGACACGGUCCAGACUCCUACGGGAGGCAGCAGUGGGGAAUAUUGCACAAUGAGCGCAAGCCGGAUGCAGCCAUGCCGCGUGUAUGACGAAGGCCUUCGAGUUGUAAAGGACUUUCAGCGAGGAGGCGUUACUCGCAGAAGAAGCACCGGCUAACUACGUGCCAGCCGCCGCGCUAAUAC